AGCAGUCGCCGCGAGAAUACAGAGGGUGCGAGCGUUAAUCGGAUUUACUGGGCGUAAAGCGUGCGUAGGCGGCUUUUUAAGUCGGAUGUGAAAUCCCUGAGCUUAACUUAGGAAUUGCAUUCGAUACUGGGAAGCUAGAGUAUGGGAGAGGAUGGUAGAAUUCCAGGUGUAGCGGUGAAAUGCGUAGAGAUCUGGAGGAAUACCGAUGGCGAAGGCAGCCAUCUGGCCUAAUACUGACGCUGAGGUACGAAAGCAUGGGGAGCAAACAGGAUUAGAUACCCCUGUAGUCCCUGUCUCUUAUAC
RNAcentral lists this ribosomal RNA (303 nucleotides) under uncultured bacterium. Its description in RNAcentral is "partial 16S ribosomal RNA". It matches the Rfam family "Bacterial small subunit ribosomal RNA", at positions 507 to 807 of the family's 1533-position model. The record is from RNAcentral.